This 30-nucleotide non-coding RNA is filed under the name Rattus norvegicus (Norway rat). The record is from RNAcentral. Lineage: Eukaryota; Metazoa; Chordata; Mammalia; Rodentia; Muridae.
UUCCUGCAGAAAGCAGUAGAUAUUGCUUUG